RNAcentral lists this ribosomal RNA (2431 nucleotides) under Rhodococcus rhodochrous. RNAcentral describes it as "partial 23S ribosomal RNA". It matches the Rfam family "Bacterial large subunit ribosomal RNA", at positions 644 to 2925 of the family's 2925-position model. Lineage: Bacteria; Bacillati; Actinomycetota; Actinomycetes; Mycobacteriales; Nocardiaceae. The record is from RNAcentral.
GGUUAACCCGUGUGGGGUAGCCGUAGCGAAAGCGAGUCCGAAUAGGGCGCAUCUAGUGGCAUGUUCUAGACCCGAAGCGGAGUGAUCUACCCAUGGCCAGGGUGAAGCGACGGUAAGACGUCGUGGAGGCCCGAACCCACUUAGGUUGAAAACUGAGGGGAUGAGUUGUGGGUAGGGGUGAAAGGCCAAUCAAACUCCGUGAUAGCUGGUUCUCCCCGAAAUGCAUUUAGGUGCAGCGUCGCGUGUUUCUCACCGGAGGUAGAGCUACUGGAUGGUCUAGGGGGCCCACAAGCUUACCGAAAUCAGCCAAACUCCGAAUGCCGGUGAGUGAGAGCGCGGCAGUGAGACUGCGGGGGAUAAGCUUCGUAGUCGAGAGGGAAACAGCCCAGAUCGCCGGCUAAGGCCCCUAAGCGUGUACUAAGUGGAAAAGGAUGUGGGAUCGCUGAGACAACCAGGAGGUUGGCUUAGAAGCAGCCACCCUUGAAAGAGUGCGUAAUAGCUCACUGGUCAAGUGGUCCUGCGCCGACAAUGUAGCGGGGCUCAAGUACACCGCCGAAGCCGCGGCAUUCACACAAGCCCGCUGAUUCUCCACGGAGGGUCGGCCAGGUGUGUGGAUGGGUAGGGGAGCGUCGUGUGGCCGUGGAAGCGCCGGAGUGAUCCAGGUGUGGAGGCCACGCGAGUGAGAAUGCAGGCAUGAGUAGCGAAAGACGAGUGAGAAACUCGUCCGCCGGAUGACCAAGGGUUCCUGGGCCAGGUUAAUCCGCCCAGGGUGAGUCGGGACCUAAGGCGAGGCCGACAGGCGUAGUCGAUGGACAACGGGUUGAUAUUCCCGUACCCGUGUAUCCGCGCCCAAUGGCGAAUCAGUUGUGCUAACCGUCCAAAAGGUCGGUCGUCUCCUUCGGGAGUCGGCGGGCUGGCUGCACGGGACCCUGAUUGUAGUAGUCAAGCGAUGGGGUGACGCAGGAAGGUAGCUGGGCCAGGUGAUGGAAUACCUGGUGUAAGCCGGUAGGGCGAAUGGUAGGCAAAUCCGCCAUUCAUCAAGCCUGAGAGGUGAUGCGUACCCGUUGAGGGGAAUUCAGUGAUCCUAUGCUGCCGAGAAAAGCCUCUAGUGAGUUGGUACACGGCCCGUACCCCAAACCGACACAGGUGGUCAGGUAGAGAAUACCGAGGCGAUCGAGAGAACUGUGGUUAAGGAACUCGGCAAAAUGCCCCCGUAACUUCGGGAGAAGGGGGACCACGCCCGGUGACCGGACUUUGCUCCGUGAGCUGGGGGUGGUCGCAGAGACCAGAGAGAAGCGACUGUUUACUAAAAACACAGGUCCGUGCGAAGUCGUAAGACGAUGUAUACGGACUGACGCCUGCCCGGUGCUGGAAGGUUAAGAGGACCGGUUAGUCACUUCGGUGGCGAAGCUGAGAAUUUAAGCCCCAGUAAACGGCGGUGGUAACUAUAACCAUCCUAAGGUAGCGAAAUUCCUUGUCGGGUAAGUUCCGACCUGCACGAAUGGCGUAACGACUUCUCUGCUGUCUCGACCACAGACUCGGCGAAAUUGCAUUACGAGUAAAGAUGCUCGUUACGCGCGGCAGGACGAAAAGACCCCGGGACCUUCACUAUAGCUUGGUAUUGGUGUUCGGUUCGGUUUGUGUAGGAUAGGUGGGAGACUGUGAAGCGGCCACGCCAGUGGUUGUGGAGUCGUUGUUGAAAUACCACUCUGAUCGUAUUGGACCUCUAACCUCGGACCAUGAUCUGGUUCAGGGACAGUGCCUGGUGGGUAGUUUAACUGGGGCGGUUGCCUCCCAAAAUGUAACGGAGGCGCCCAAAGGUUCCCUCAGCCUGGUUGGCAAUCAGGUGUCGAGUGCAAGUGCACAAGGGAGCUUGACUGUGAGACUGACAGGUCGAGCAGGGACGAAAGUCGGGACUAGUGAUCCGGCACCGGCAUGUGGAAGCGGUGUCGCUCAACGGAUAAAAGGUACCCCGGGGAUAACAGGCUGAUCUUCCCCAAGAGUCCAUAUCGACGGGAUGGUUUGGCACCUCGAUGUCGGCUCGUCGCAUCCUGGGGCUGGAGUAGGUCCCAAGGGUUGGGCUGUUCGCCCAUUAAAGCGGCACGCGAGCUGGGUUUAGAACGUCGUGAGACAGUUCGGUCUCUAUCCGCCGCGCGCGUUAGAAACUUGAGGAAGGCUGUCCCUAGUACGAGAGGACCGGGACGGACGAACCUCUGGUGUGCCAGUUGUCCCGCCAGGGGCAUGGCUGGUUGGCUACGUUCGGAAGGGAUAACCGCUGAAAGCAUCUAAGCGGGAAGCCUGUUCCAAGAUGAGGUUUCUCACCCCCUCGAGGGGGUAAGGCCCCCGGCAGACCACCGGGUUGAUAGGCCGGAACUGGAAGCACAGCAAUGUGUGGAGGUGACCGGUACUAAUAGGCCGAGGACUUACCACG